Molecule: ribosomal RNA, 119 nt
Filed under: Pteropus alecto (black flying fox)
Lineage: Eukaryota; Metazoa; Chordata; Mammalia; Chiroptera; Pteropodidae
Source: RNAcentral
GUCUACGGCCAUGCUAUCCUGAACAUGCCUGAUCCCGUCUGAUCCUGGAAGCUAGGUAGGGUUGGGCCUGGUUAGUACUUGGAUGGGAGACAACCUAGGAAGACCAGGUGCUGUAGGCA